RNAcentral lists this long non-coding RNA (408 nucleotides) under Rattus norvegicus (Norway rat). RNAcentral describes it as "long non-coding RNA NONRATT019979". Lineage: Eukaryota; Metazoa; Chordata; Mammalia; Rodentia; Muridae. The record is from RNAcentral.
CACAUCUCCGCUCACCCGGCGCACACUAGCACACACCUCUCGCACACCGCACUCAUCUUACCCGCCCUGCAUCCACCCUGCAGACCCCGCACUCACCCUGCAUCCACCACACACACCUGGCAGACUCAGGAGCCACGCCACAUACCUGGCACAUCCCAGACUCCACAUCCAUUCCACACACCCCGCACACACCACAGACGCCGCUCGUCACCACGCACACACCCCGCGCUCAACCUGCGCGCAGAGCAGACUGUCCGCCGCGCCCGCUCACAGCGGAGCCGCAGCUCCUGCCCGAGGAGCCGCCCGCGUCCGCGCCGCCGGGCGGCGCCGGCGGGAAGAGGAGGCUACGCUGAGCUUCUCCGACCCGAGAUUCGCCGGGGGGAGCUCCAGCAGCAGAGGCCGCGGCCG